Molecule: ribosomal RNA, 254 nt
Filed under: uncultured bacterium
Lineage: Bacteria
Description: partial 16S ribosomal RNA
Rfam family: Bacterial small subunit ribosomal RNA
Source: RNAcentral
UACGGAGGGUGCAAGCGUUAUCCGGAUUUAUUGGGUUUAAAGCGCACGUAGGCGGCCUGAUAAGUCGGGUGUGAAAGCCCUGGGCUCAACCCAGGAAGUGCACUCGAAACUGUCAGGCUUGAAUAUGGAAGAGGGUCGCGGAAUUCCCGGUGUAGAGGUGAAAUUCGUAGAUAUCGGGAGGAACACCAGUGGCGAAGGCGGCGAUCGUGGGAAGAUACUGACGCUGAGGUGCAAAAGCGUGGGGAGCAAACAGG